GCCGGGAUGGUGGAAUGGUAGACACGCAGGUCUUAGGAACCUGUGCUGAAUAUACAGCGUGUGGGUUCAAGUCCCACUCCCGGCA
Molecule: transfer RNA, 85 nt
Filed under: Chloroflexota bacterium
Lineage: Bacteria; Bacillati; Chloroflexota
Description: Chloroflexi bacterium (sediment metagenome) tRNA-Leu
Rfam family: tRNA
About the family: Transfer RNA (tRNA) molecules are approximately 80 nucleotides in length. Their secondary structure includes four short double-helical elements and three loops (D, anti-codon, and T loops). Further hydrogen bonds mediate the characteristic L-shaped molecular structure. tRNAs have two regions of fundamental functional importance: the anti-codon, which is responsible for specific mRNA codon recognition, and the 3' end, to which the tRNAs corresponding amino acid is attached (by aminoacyl-tRNA synthetases). tRNAs cope with the degeneracy of the genetic code in two manners: having more than one tRNA (with a specific anti-codon) for a particular amino acid; and 'wobble' base-pairing, i.e. permitting non-standard base-pairing at the 3rd anti-codon position.
Source: RNAcentral